GAUGAACGCUAGCGGCAGGCCUAACACAUGCAAGUCGAGGGGUAGAGUUAGCUUGCUAACUUGAGACCGGCGCACGGGUGCGUAACGCGUAUGCAAUCUACCUUAUACAGAGGGAUAGCCCAGAGAAAUUUGGAUUAAUACCUCAUAGUAUUAUCGAGUGGCAUCAUUUGAUAAUUAAAGUUCCAACGGUAUAAGAUGAGCAUGCGUCCCAUUAGUUAGUUGGUAAGGUAACGGCUUACCAAGACUAUGAUGGGUAGGGGUCCUGAGAGGGAGAUCCCCCANACUGGUACUGAGACACGGACCAGACUCCUACGGGAGGCAGCAGUGAGGAAUAUUGGACAAUGGGCGCAAGCCUGAUCCAGCCAUGCCGCGUGCAGGAAGACGGUCCUAUGGAUUGUAAACUGCUUUUAUACAGGAAGAAACAUCUCUACGUGUAGAGACCUUGACGGUACUGUAAGAAUAAGGAUCGGCUAACUCCGUGCCAG
Molecule: ribosomal RNA, 485 nt
Filed under: uncultured bacterium
Lineage: Bacteria
Description: bacterial SSU rRNA
Rfam family: Bacterial small subunit ribosomal RNA
Source: RNAcentral